CCGACCUGCACAUUUGAGUGAAAAAACAUAAAAGGUUUUGAAAAAUAAAAUAAAAUAAAUGAGUAAAUAAAUAAAAAAAACUAAAAAUCAAUACCUAGCGUGAGCAUAUCAAUAAUCAAUCUAUCAAUCAAUCAAUCAAUCAAUCAAUGCACUGGAAAGUUAGCGAUUGCUGUUAAAAGCAAAAGUGUUAAUUCAUAAGUAUAUACAUUAAUUGUCUUGUGAUUGCAGUUGAUUUGCUGUUGAUGGUCUGUUAUUGAUUGGUCCACAACCUGCAGAGGAAGGUGGAGGCAGGUUGGCUGGAGAAGAAAUGGGAAAACCUAAAGCAAAAGUACAAGGAGCUGAAGACGCCCAGGACAGGGGUCAGUACAGAGGGAAGAGAGACCACUGCUGCCA
RNAcentral lists this long non-coding RNA (393 nucleotides) under Gouania willdenowi (blunt-snouted clingfish). RNAcentral's name for it is "lncRNA (ENSGWIG00000013643.1)". Lineage: Eukaryota; Metazoa; Chordata; Actinopteri; Blenniiformes; Gobiesocidae. The record is from RNAcentral.